CGGCCUAUACAUGCAAGUCGAGCGGCAAGUUGAGUAGUAAUACUUAGCCUAGAGCGGCGCACGGGUGCGUAACGCGUAUGCAACCUACCUUUUACUGGGGGAUAGCCCGGAGAAAUCUGGAUUAAUACCCCAUGGUAUCUAUGAAUCGAUUGGUUUAUAGUUUAAAGAUUUAUCGGUAAGAGAUGGGCAUGCGUCUGAUUAGCUAGUUGGCGGGGUAACGGCCCACCAAGGCGACGAUCAGUAGGGGUUCUGAGAGGAAGGUCCCCCACACUGGCACUGAGAUACGGGCCAGACUCCUACGGGAGGCAGCAGUAGGGAAUAUUGGGCAAUGGUCGCAAGACUGACCCAGCCAUGCCGCGUGCAGGAAGACGGCCCUCUGGGUUGUAAACUGCUUUUAUCUGGGAAGAAAAAGUCCAUGCGUGGAAAAUUGCCGGUACCAGAUGAAUAAGCACCGGCUAACUCCGUGCCAGCAGCCGCGGUAAUACGGAGGGUGCAAGCGUUGUCCGGAUUUAUUGGGUUUAAAGGGUGCGUAGGCGGCUGAAUAAGUCAGCGGUGAAAGACUUCGGCUUAACCGGAGCAGUGCCGUUGAUACUGUUUAGCUUGAGUGUUGGAGGGGUACAUGGAAUUGAUGGUGUAGCGGUGAAAUGCAUAGAUACCAUCAGGAACACCGAUAGCGAAGGCAUUGUACUGGCCAACAACUGACGCUGAGGCACGAAAGUGUGGGGAUCGAACAGGAUUAGAUACCCUGGUAGUCCACACCGUANACGAUGAUUACUCGCUGUUAUGGUGUAUGCUGUAGCGGCCAAGCGAAAGCGUUAAGUAAUCCACCUGGGGAGUACGCCGGCAACGGUGAAACUCAAAGGAAUUGACGGGGGUCCGCACAAGCGGUGGAGCAUGUGGUUUAAUUCGAUGA
RNAcentral lists this ribosomal RNA (913 nucleotides) under uncultured Bacteroidota bacterium. RNAcentral's name for it is "bacterial SSU rRNA". It matches the Rfam family "Bacterial small subunit ribosomal RNA", at positions 44 to 957 of the family's 1533-position model. Lineage: Bacteria; Pseudomonadati; Bacteroidota. The record is from RNAcentral.